RNAcentral lists this ribosomal RNA (86 nucleotides) under Mycetohabitans endofungorum. The record is from RNAcentral. Lineage: Bacteria; Pseudomonadati; Pseudomonadota; Betaproteobacteria; Burkholderiales; Burkholderiaceae.
CCCUGCCCAUCCCGAACAGGACCGUGAAACGACUCCACGCCGAUGAUAGUGCGGAUUGCCCGUGUGAAAGUAGGUAAUCGUCAGGC